This 26-nucleotide non-coding RNA is filed under the name Mus musculus (house mouse). Lineage: Eukaryota; Metazoa; Chordata; Mammalia; Rodentia; Muridae. The record is from RNAcentral.
UGAAAUAGAACCUCAUUUUACUUGUG